UAAAAGAGCAUGCUUGCACACACGGGCACUCCACACUUGUAAAUAGAAGAGUGAUUGACUUGGUAGCGAGAGAGAUGAAAGUCGAGAACAUUAGCACAAUCUGAGGUAUUAAAAAUUGUCAAGGCAAUGACUUCAUAGUUUAUUCAUUCAUCACGUAGUUGCAUUCAUGCAUUGCAUAGUAUUAUUGUUAGUGUCGUUGACGCUUGAGGACAAGCAUCAGUUUAAGUUUGGG
RNAcentral lists this long non-coding RNA (232 nucleotides) under Daucus carota (carrot). RNAcentral's name for it is "long non-coding RNA (DCAR_LNC002169)". Lineage: Eukaryota; Viridiplantae; Streptophyta; Magnoliopsida; Apiales; Apiaceae. The record is from RNAcentral.